RNAcentral lists this long non-coding RNA (249 nucleotides) under Elaeis guineensis (African oil palm). RNAcentral's name for it is "long non-coding RNA (EGUI_LNC040194)". The record is from RNAcentral. Lineage: Eukaryota; Viridiplantae; Streptophyta; Magnoliopsida; Arecales; Arecaceae.
UAUCGCUCCUAACUUUUAGGUCAACUUCGUCUUUCUUUUGAGUCCUUUCCUCUAAAGUCUCUGUCUUCUUCAGAGUCAUUCUCAUGGCUAGGACUUCUCCUUCUCGGAAAGAUCGGUCAGAGAAUCCGACUGAUGAAUCCCAGUCAAGUUCGGAUGUGGAGGCCUCUUCACUUUCGGAACCAAACGUUGAACGACUUCGGGAGCAGUUUUGUAUCCCGGAGCAGUUUCAAUUUUUUGCCCCUGGGGCCG